GACGAACGCUGGCGGCGUGCCUAAUACAUGCAAGUCGAACGAAGCUGUUUUAACUGGUGCUUGCACCGACUUAAACAACUGAGUGGCGAACGGGUGAGUAACACGUGGGUAACCUGCCCCAAAGCGGGGGAUAACAUUUGGAAACGGAUGCUAAUACCGCAUAACCACAGAAACCACAUGGUUUCUGUGUCAAAGAUGGUUUCGGCUAUCACUUUGGGAUGGACCCGCGGCGUAUUAGCUAGUUGGUAAGGUAAAGGCUUACCAAGGCAAUGAUACGUAGCCGAACUGAGAGGUUGAUCGGCCACAUUGGGACUGAGACACGGCCCAAACUCCUACGGGAGGCAGCAGUAGGGAAUCUUCCACAAUGGACGAAAGUCUGAUGGAGCAACGCCGCGUGAGUGAAGAAGGUUUUCGGAUCGUAAAACUCUGUUGUUAGAGAAGAACGUGUGUGAGAGUAACUGCUCAUGCAGUGACGGUAUCUAACCAGAAAGCCACGGCUAACUACGUGCCAGCAGCCGCAGUAA
RNAcentral lists this ribosomal RNA (524 nucleotides) under uncultured bacterium. RNAcentral's name for it is "partial 16S ribosomal RNA". It matches the Rfam family "Bacterial small subunit ribosomal RNA", at positions 28 to 523 of the family's 1533-position model. The record is from RNAcentral.